Molecule: ribosomal RNA, 663 nt
Filed under: uncultured bacterium
Lineage: Bacteria
Description: bacterial SSU rRNA
Rfam family: Bacterial small subunit ribosomal RNA
Source: RNAcentral
UAAUACCGCAUAAGCGCACAGAGCUGCAUGGCUCGGUGUGAAAAACUCCGGUGGUAUGGGAUGGGCCCGCGUCUGAUUAGGCAGUUGGCGGGGUAACGGCCCACCAAACCGACGAUCAGUAGCCGGCCUGAGAGGGCGACCGGCCACAUUGGGACUGAGACACGGCCCAAACUCCUACGGGAGGCAGCAGUGGGGAAUAUUGCACAAUGGGGGAAACCCUGAUGCAGCGACGCCGCGUGAGCGAAGAAGUAUUUCGGUAUGUAAAGCUCUAUCAGCAGGGAAGAUAAUGACGGUACCUGACUAAGAAGCCCCGGCUAACUACGUGCCAGCAGCCGCGGUAAUACGUAGGGGGCAAGCGUUAUCCGGAUUUACUGGGUGUAAAGGGAGCGUAGACGGCAAGGCAAGUCUGAUGUGAAAACCCAGGGCUUAACCCUGGGACUGCAUUGGAAACUGUCUGGCUCGAGUGCCGGAGAGGUAAGCGGAAUUCCUAGUGUAGCGGUGAAAUGCGUAGAUAUUAGGAAGAACACCAGUGGCGAAGGCGGCUUACUGGACGGUAACUGACGUUGAGGCUCGAAAGCGUGGGGAGCAAACAGGAUUAGAUACCCUGGUAGUCCACGCUGUAAACGAUGAAAGGGAGGUGUUGGGGAGCAAAGCUCUUCGGCG